Molecule: unclassified non-coding RNA, 1266 nt
Organism: Rhipicephalus microplus (southern cattle tick)
Lineage: Eukaryota; Metazoa; Arthropoda; Arachnida; Ixodida; Ixodidae
Source: RefSeq, a predicted model, not a curated record
UGGCAACCCAUGUGGAAUGCGGGAAGCUCGCUGUUUGCGAAGAUGAUGCCGAAGUGGCGAGGUACUUUUGCUGACCAGGGCGCAGAUGAGCCAAGCAGUGCAAGCAAAGCCUUGUUUGGUUCAGCGCAAGGCUGCCGUCAUUCUCGCCUCUUCAGACGGUUCUCUGACGCGUUGCCAAGUGCUGGAGCAUGCCGGGACCACAGUCAAUAACACCGACAAGCGGGGCAGUCUGGCGGUCGAGAAGGGCCUCUCGUUCCGGGACGUUCUCACCGGUGACAGCCAAACGACCUGGGCGCCCACCACACGGCUUGCUACGAGUACGCUGGCUUCAAUGAGUCCGGCAAUCACUCCGCAGGCUCCUACGAGUGCCCCGACUGCCACCAGACUGCCACCAUCGAACGAAUGGCUGCGGCUCUUGCUGUACAUGACUCCACCGCACCGAGGAUAUUGUCGGCCAGUGGUGCACACACAUUGGUACCUUCAGGACUCGCUUCUGGAACGGCGGCAGCGGAGCAAUUUGAAAACGGAAGCAUCGAAGGCAGCGCUACUUCUGAGUAUUGCCGGUGACGACGUGUUGAACGUUUUCAACAACUUCCAGUUCGUGCCGAUGUGGACAAAAAGGACUACAGCACCAUGAAUGAUCAGUCCAGACAGGCAGUAUGAGCUGAACGAUUUCCUGGAUCGAUUCCCAUCACAUGCGUGAAGUUGUCUUAGCAUGUCCACCAAGCCAUCUUGUUCUUCGCAGCAGUUACUUUGCCAAAGAGACCAAAACACUCAACCUUACUCUCACAGUUUUAACUUGAUUGCAGGUGAGAGGCAGCUCCAGACGUGCACGUUCGAAGUACUUUUUGCCCAGGGAUGGCCGCUUUUCAAGAUUUCCUCGCACUGGGCUUGUCGGUGGUUUCUGCGACAGACAUCCUGCAGUGGCUGGUGUAUGCAUCAGCACUGGCUAAGCUUGUCCGCUCGCCCACCUGAAAGAUCAAGGUAGUUGGGCCACGCGUGCAUCACCGGGAGGGCCAAGCUGGUACCCGGCCUUCUGUGAGACCAGGGGUGUUACGGCCGAAAAAGUGAACUGUUUUCAAGAUUCCACCGCUCAGACACGAUCGAAGGCCUGCUACCUUUUCGGUGUUGGUGUUGUAAUUCUAUAAAAUAAAGUUCUCGCAGCAUAUAAUAGACCUUGACAUGAUCAAAAGUUAUCGACAUUGACUGCAACCUAAUAAAGGGUAACAGCCUCAUGAUGAAGCAUGUGUGCUGGAAAAAACUUAG